AUGAACGCUGGCGGCGUGCCUAAUACAUGCAAGUCGAGCGAACGGACGAGAAGCUUGCUUCUCUGAUGUUAGCGGCGGACGGGUGAGUAACACGUGGAUAACCUACCUAUAAGACUGGGAUAACUUCGGGAAACCGGAGCUAAUACCGGAUAAUAUUUUGAACCGCAUGGUUCAAAAGUGAAAGACGGUCUUGCUGUCACUUAUAGAUGGAUCCGCGCUGCAUUAGCUAGUUGGUGAGGUAACGGCUUACCAAGGCAACGAUGCAUAGCCGACCUGAGAGGGUGAUCGGCCACACUGGAACUGAGACACGGUCCAGACUCCUACGGGAGGCAGCAGUAGGGAAUCUUCCGCAAUGGGCGAAAGCCUGACGGAGCAACGCCGCGUGAGUGAUGAAGGUCUUCGGAUCGUAAAACUCUGUUAUUAGGGAAGAACAUAUGUGUAAGUAACUGUGCACAUCUUGACGGUACCUAAUCAGAAAGCCACGGCUAACUACGUG
RNAcentral lists this ribosomal RNA (496 nucleotides) under uncultured bacterium. RNAcentral describes it as "partial 16S ribosomal RNA". It matches the Rfam family "Bacterial small subunit ribosomal RNA", at positions 29 to 507 of the family's 1533-position model. The record is from RNAcentral.